UACGAAGGGGGCGAGCGUUGUUCGGAAUUACUGGGCGUAAAGGGCUCGUAGGUGGCCAACUAAGUCAGACGUGAAAUCCCUCGGCUUAACCGGGGAACUGCGUCUGAUACUGGAUGGCUUGAGUUUGGGAGAGGGAUGCGGAAUUCCAGGUGUAGCGGUGAAAUGCGUAGAUAUCUGGAGGAACACCGGUGGCGAAGGCGGCAUCCUGGACCAAUACUGACACUGAGGAGCGAAAGCCAGGGGAGCAAACGGG
RNAcentral lists this ribosomal RNA (253 nucleotides) under uncultured bacterium. RNAcentral describes it as "partial 16S ribosomal RNA". It matches the Rfam family "Bacterial small subunit ribosomal RNA", at positions 524 to 776 of the family's 1533-position model. The record is from RNAcentral.